CCAAGGAGUGCAACAUGCGUGCGAGUCUGUGGGUGUCAGACCCGUCGGCGCAAUGAGAGUGAAGGCGGACGCCUGGUCCGCCGAGGCAGGAGCCGUCCUUACCGUUCGGCCCACUGUUGACCGAUCCCGUACCACGCUGUGGUGGGAUUCGAGUGAGAGCGUGCCUGUUGCGACCCGAAAGAUGGUGAACUAUGCCUGAAUAGGGCGAAGCCAGAGGAAACUCUGGUGGAAGCUCGCAGCGGUUCUGACAUGCAAAUCGAUCGUCAAAUUUGGGUAUAGGGGCGAAAGACUAAUCGAACCAUCUAGUAGCUGGUUCCCUCCGAAGUUUCCCUCAGGAUAGCUGGAGCCCGGAGCAGUUUUAUCAGGUAAAGCGAAUGAUUAGAGGUCUUGGGGUUGAAACAACCUCAACCUAUUCUCAAACUUUAAAUGGGUAAGAAGUCCGGCUUGCUCGGUUGAAGUCGGACGUUGGAAUGCUGGGGCUCCCAGUGGGCCAUUUUUGGUAAGCAGAACUGGCGAUGCGGGAUGAACCGAACGCCGGGUUAAGGUGCCCGARUCGACGCUCAUCAGAUCCCAUGAAAGGU
Molecule: ribosomal RNA, 581 nt
Filed under: Acanthella cavernosa
Lineage: Eukaryota; Metazoa; Porifera; Demospongiae; Bubarida; Dictyonellidae
Description: eukaryotic LSU rRNA
Rfam family: Eukaryotic large subunit ribosomal RNA
Source: RNAcentral